Molecule: non-coding RNA, 185 nt
Filed under: Armatimonadota bacterium
Lineage: Bacteria; Bacillati; Armatimonadota
Description: Armatimonadetes bacterium (hot springs metagenome) 6S RNA
Rfam family: 6S / SsrS RNA
About the family: E. coli 6S RNA was the first non coding RNA to be sequenced, but its function was unknown until recently.
Source: RNAcentral
GCGACCCUGCGGUACGCGUGAUGGUUUUGGGAGUUUUGAGCCAGCACCUCAAUAAUAGGGAGUCGAUCGUCAAGGCUGAGUGGUAGCCCGUCAAACCGGCGGGAAUCGCGGAGGUCUUGACUAGACACCCACCCGUGGCAUACGGGUUCUAAGACGCCCUACCACACGGUACUCGCGGGGUGUUU